RNAcentral lists this ribosomal RNA (505 nucleotides) under uncultured bacterium. Its description in RNAcentral is "partial 16S ribosomal RNA". It matches the Rfam family "Bacterial small subunit ribosomal RNA", at positions 28 to 507 of the family's 1533-position model. The record is from RNAcentral.
GACGAACGCUGGCGGCGUGCCUAAUACAUGCAAGUAGAACGCACAGUUUAUACCGUAGCUUGCUACACCAUAAACUGUGAGUUGCGAACGGGUGAGUAACGCGUAGGUAACCUGCCUGGUAGCGGGGGAUAACUAUUGGAAACGAUAGCUAAUACCGCAUAAUAUUGAUUAUUGCAUGAUAAUUGAUUGAAAGAUGCUAUUGCAUCACUACCAGAUGGACCUGCGUUGUAUUAGCUAGUAGGUGAGGUAACGGCUCACCUAGGCGACGAUACAUAGCCGACCUGAGAGGGUGAUCGGCCACACUGGGACUGAGACACGGCCCAGACUCCUACGGGAGGCAGCAGUAGGGAAUCUUCGGCAAUGGAAGAAAGUCUGACCGAGCAACGCCGAGUGAGUGAAGAAGGGUUUCGGAUCGUAAAGCUCUGUUGUAAGAGAAGAACGGGUGUGAGAGUGGAAAGUUCACACUGUGACGGUAUCUUACCAGAAAGGGACGGCUAACUACGUG